This 157-nucleotide small RNA is filed under the name Chelonoidis abingdonii (Abingdon island giant tortoise). Its description in RNAcentral is "TUC338 (ENSCABG00000007571.1)". Lineage: Eukaryota; Metazoa; Chordata; Testudines; Testudinidae. The record is from RNAcentral.
AUAAAGGAACAAAGUCUUCUAUUUAUCCAUAGAACAGACGCUGCAUGGAGAGCUGCACUACAAACUCCUCCACACUGCCAUGCCAAUAUGCCUAACCUGGAGGGGCCACCUUCAGGAAUAUAAAGGCAGUGUAGUCUCCAGUCAGGUGUUGGACUCC